CGUUCUACGGGGUUUGCCGGGUGGUGGUGAAGGGCGGAGAGCCCAACACGCAUGCGUAUAAAGAAGCGGUGAAGGAGCCCCCUGGUAGCAUUGGCAUUUCGUUUUUGGCUGUAGUGGCAGCGCGUUGAAGAAACCAAAUCACCAUGGUUAACGUAAAGUGCUACUGCUUUGUGGUUAGAGGUGAAACUGUGUAUUAGCGUUGAGUCAAGCGCGUGCAAUUUUUUUUUUUAACGUUUGGUUAACGUUGAUGCUGUUAUAUCUAUGUAUAAUAAUUCUAUAAAAUGGCGCAUUUUCCAGGCAAAAAGAUAAAUGUUGCGUGUUCGAUGUCUUUCUGUGAGUGACUUCCUUCUAGACUCGCCAUUGGCCAUGGAGCUGCAUGCCGGCCUCAGAUUGGCUGUCAAUGACGUUAUUCCCACUGCAUGCAGGUGGAGCCUAGCGCAAGAUCUCUGGUCAGGACGGCGUUCAUAAAUAUGGACUCCAUUAUGGGGCAGGAUUGGCGCUCUCCUGUGGGGGGAAAUCCUGCCGACCGUAUUCGACCCGGAGCUCUCGGAAAGGACUAAUUCUACUGCACAGGUGCUGCUAGACUAGAGAGUGUUUCCAACAUUUUCUGAUCACUUUGUUAUUGUUUUAAUUGAUUGGAUUGCCUCCAUCUGAACUAAAAUGAGAGCCUUUUUUUCAUAUGUAGGAUGGGAAGUGAAUUGUGAUAGAAGGGGAUAAAUAUCUAUUUGAAAUUUUUGAUUUGUAUUUGAAAUUUUUGAUUUCAGUUGACCUGAAGAAAACUAGACAAGUUGUUGUAAAUGUGAUUAAAUUAGAUUGUGUAUAGUUUGAAGGUAUCUGUUAAACUGCACAAUGAGCAUGCAAUGUUUAGUAAGAUUUAAUGUUCAAGUUGAUGUUGCACAAUUAGUUGAAAUUACUAUUUGUAAUUAUUGUAGUCUGUAGUGAAGA
Amblyraja radiata (thorny skate) is the source of this 945-nucleotide long non-coding RNA. RefSeq lists it as uncharacterized. The transcript is spliced from 2 exons. NCBI's taxonomy places the organism in Eukaryota, Metazoa, Chordata, Chondrichthyes, Rajiformes, Rajidae. The record is from RefSeq and is a predicted model, not a curated record.